Molecule: small nuclear RNA, 156 nt
Organism: Salvia hispanica
Lineage: Eukaryota; Viridiplantae; Streptophyta; Magnoliopsida; Lamiales; Lamiaceae
Product: U4 spliceosomal RNA
Source: RefSeq, a predicted model, not a curated record
UUUGUUAAACUUGGGGCAAUGACGCAGUUAGUGAAGUUCUAAUCGAGACACGUCUAUUGCUGGUUGAAAACUAUUUCCAAACGUUACCCCUCUUUGGUCUGGGCUUGAUUUGUGCUGUCGAGAAUUUUUCGAAGGGCUCCAAUUUUGGGUUAGGCC